GUCUCGAUGGUCUAAUGGUUAUGAUUUGCGUCUCACACACGCAAGGUUCCCAGUUCGAUCCUGGGUCGAGACA
Molecule: transfer RNA, 73 nt
Filed under: Gloeophyllum trabeum ATCC 11539
Lineage: Eukaryota; Fungi; Basidiomycota; Agaricomycetes; Gloeophyllales; Gloeophyllaceae
Description: tRNA-Val (CAC) (tRNA-Val-CAC-1-1, tRNA-Val-CAC-1-2)
Source: RNAcentral